This 505-nucleotide ribosomal RNA is filed under the name uncultured bacterium. Its description in RNAcentral is "partial 16S ribosomal RNA". It matches the Rfam family "Bacterial small subunit ribosomal RNA", at positions 29 to 523 of the family's 1533-position model. The record is from RNAcentral.
AUUGAACGCUGGCGGCAGGCCUAACACAUGCAAGUCGGACGGUAGCACAGAGAGCUUGCUCCUCGGGUGACGAGUGGCGGACGGGUGAGUAAUGUCUGGGGAUCUGCCCGAUAGAGGGGGAUAACCACUGGAAACGGUGGCUAAUACCGCAUAACGUCGCAAGACCAAAGAAGGGGACCUUCGGGCCUCUCACUAUCGGAUGAACCCAGAUGGGAUUAGCUAGUAGGCGGGGUAACGGCCCACCUAGGCGACGAUCCCUAGCUGGUCUGAGAGGAUGACCAGCCACACUGGAACUGAGACACGGUCCAGACUCCUACGGGAGGCAGCGGUGGGGAAUAUUGCACAAUGGGCGCAAGCCUGAUGCAGCCAUGCCGCGUGUAUGAAGAAGGCCUUCGGGUUGUAAAGUACUUUCAGCGGGGAGGAAGGCGAUGUGGUUAAUAACCGCAUUGAUUGACGUUACCCGCAGAAGAAGCACCGGCUAACUCCGUGCCAGCCGCCGCCGUAA